This 502-nucleotide ribosomal RNA is filed under the name uncultured bacterium. RNAcentral's name for it is "partial 16S ribosomal RNA". It matches the Rfam family "Bacterial small subunit ribosomal RNA", at positions 28 to 507 of the family's 1533-position model. The record is from RNAcentral.
GACGAACGCUGGCGGCGUGCUUAACACAUGCGAGUCGAACGGUGAAGGGGUCUGCUUUUGUGGGCCCUGGAUGAGUGGCGAACGGGUGAGUAACACGUGAGUAACCUGCCCCCUUCUUCUGGAUAACCGCAUGAAAGUGUGGCUAAUACGGGAUAUUCUGGGUCUGUCGCAUGAUGGGUCUGGGAAAGAUUGCGCCUUUGGGUGUUUUUGGUGGGGGAUGGGCUCGCGGCCUAUCAGCUUGUUGGUGGGGUGAUGGCCUACCAAGGCGGUGACGGGUAGCCGGCCUGAGAGGGUGGACGGUCACACUGGGACUGAGACACGGCCCAGACUCCUACGGGAGGCAGCAGUGGGGAAUAUUGCACAAUGGGCGCAAGCCUGAUGCAGCGACGCCGCGUGAGGGAUGGAGGCCUUCGGGUUGUAAACCUCUUUCGCCAGUGAAGCAGGCCUGCUCCUUGUGGGUGGGUUGACGGUAGCUGGAUAAGAAGCGCCGGCUAACUACGUG